UCCAGACUCCUACGGGAGGCAGCAGUGGGGGAUAUUGCACAAUGGGGGAAACCCUGAUGCAGCGACGCCGCGUGAGUGAAGAAGUAUUUCGGUAUGUAAAGCUCUAUCAGCAGGGAAGAAAAAAGACGGUACCUGACUAAGAAGCCCCGGCUAACUACGUGCCAGCAGCCGCGGUAAUACGUAGGGGGCAAGCGUUAUCCGGAUUUACUGGGUGUAAAGGGAGCGUAGACGGCAAUACAAGUCGGAAGUGAAAUACCCGGGCUCAACCUGGGAACUGCUUUGGAAACUGUGUGGCUGGAGUGCUGGAGAGGUAAGCGGAAUUCCUAGUGUAGCGGUGAAAUGCGUAGAUAUUAGGAGGAACACCAGUGGCGAAGGCGGCUUACUGGACAGUAACUGACGUUGAGGCUCGAAAGCGUGGGGAGCAAACAGGAUUAGAUACCCCUGUA
RNAcentral lists this ribosomal RNA (446 nucleotides) under uncultured bacterium. Its description in RNAcentral is "bacterial SSU rRNA". It matches the Rfam family "Bacterial small subunit ribosomal RNA", at positions 330 to 792 of the family's 1533-position model. The record is from RNAcentral.